AGAAGGGAGUGCCGAGGCACACUGAGCCGCGCCCAGUGUGGGGGAUGUUUGGAGGCUUCAGGGGCACCCACAGACAGUGUAGGGGUGCAGAGAAGCUCCCAGAAUGCCUACAGUCAGAUCUGAUCAGCCAGUAUAAAAACGGGACUCUCGUCGAGACUCCGCCCAUUGUGUGGGUCUCUCAGAGCACGAGCAAGAUGCUGCCGCCGAGAGCCCCCCUCCCCGGGAUGGGGACUCCGCUUGCCUUGCUGCCACGUGUGGAGAUAAACCCACAGAGGAAUUUGGAUGCCAUCAACAAUGUCUAAGAAAGAAGUGUCAAAGAAAUUUGUACUUUUCCAUCUCAGCCCAAAUAAGCGGGCUAGUCAUCUGGGAAGAGAGAGAUUGGAGUUUAAAUUUCCUCUUUGCUUGAAAGAAUGUACUUGAAUCUAAGUCUCCAGCACCUUCAGGAAAUUAUGUGUUAAACAAUGGACUGUGCAACCUGGAAAGGUCACACAAGACCAGGUUUGUGAACCCAGUCCUCUGGUGAUUUUAGUGUUCCCUUUCAACUGUUCAAUAUUUGUUAAAAGUGACCAAUUAAAACAAACAAACAACAACAACAAAAAAAACCCACAACAUAUUUCCAGAAUGAUUAAAUCAAUAUCAUGACAUUUUA
This is a long non-coding RNA of Columba livia (rock pigeon), 649 nucleotides long. RefSeq lists it as uncharacterized. The record is from RefSeq and is a predicted model, not a curated record. NCBI's taxonomy places the organism in Eukaryota, Metazoa, Chordata, Aves, Columbiformes, Columbidae. The transcript has 2 exons.